This is a long non-coding RNA of Phascolarctos cinereus (koala), 597 nucleotides long. RefSeq lists it as uncharacterized. The record is from RefSeq and is a predicted model, not a curated record. Lineage: Eukaryota; Metazoa; Chordata; Mammalia; Diprotodontia; Phascolarctidae.
UUUGGAGUCUGAUCAGCUCCAAUGACCAAGCUGAGAGGGGGGACGUGACAUGACUGUGUGACUGAUUUCUUUCUGCUACCUCUACCCUCUUACUACUUCCCUCCCCUGGCCCAUUUCCAGAAAGUAUGCUCAGCACAGGCUUAGCAGGCAACACCACAACGAAUAACAGUAAUAGUGAGUCCUUGGGGCCUGUGGAAGGAACUGCUACCUGAGAUGUGCAUCCUGAAGAGCACCUGAGGCUACAGGCUAAUGAGCUGUCAGACCCUUCCUGAAGAAGUUGCAUUUCAGCCGAAGGCCUGAAGAUGGCAGCAGAAAGCAGAAGCAAAUCAAAGGAGAUGCUGGGCAGAGAGCAGCAAAGAACAAUGACAUCACCAGAGGACUAAGGUGCUUCGUAGCACUGCAUGCACAAGCUGCCCCGGCGAUGUUAUGUUCUUUGGCUGCCUCUUCACUUGUAUUCCCUGGUCACUCACGUUCCCAUCAUGCUUCUCCUCCCCUCAUCUGGCGGUGAGAUAAUCUGUAGAAGACUAUGUUCCCAUGUAUUAUUUCAGGGAGGAGACUUCUUUGCAAUACUGUUGAUUAAAAUGUCUUCGGCUUUGA